This 400-nucleotide unclassified non-coding RNA is filed under the name Hevea brasiliensis (rubber tree). The record is from RNAcentral. Lineage: Eukaryota; Viridiplantae; Streptophyta; Magnoliopsida; Malpighiales; Euphorbiaceae.
GAGAGAGAGAGAGAGAGAGGCAGUUCUAUUGAUGGAAGCUUUCAGUGGGAGUAAAUGGAGUAGAUAAAGAGAGAGAAGCAAAAGAAGAAAGCUUUGUUCAUUGCCAGUAAACAAAGCUUUCAUAUCUGAUGCUCUAUGUUUAGAACUUCUGUUCGACACAGAGAGUUGACAAGAACCAUAGACGAAACUGUUGGAGAAAAAACUGCGAUUCAACGUGAGCAAUGCUUGAAGUCUUUUGAGGGAUUGCUGCAGAAAAGAUCACAGACACGCAGAGAGAGAGAGCAAACUAGAAAAUGUGAGGUCUAGGAGAACGUGUUAAAGCAGAGAGAGAGAGAGCCAAGACAUGGUGGGGAAUGGAAGGCACCUCAGAGGCGAAGAGAAUGGUUGUUCAGAUCAUAAU